AGUGAACGCUGGCGGCGUGCUUAACACAUGCAAGUCGAACGAGAACGGAUUAUAGCUUGCUAUAAUUGUCAGCUAAGUGGCGCACGGGUGAGUAAUGUAUAGGUAAUAUGCCUCUUACUAAGGGAUAACAAAUGGAAACGUCUGCUAAUACCUUAUACUCCUUAUUAACAUAAGUUAAUAAGGGAAAGAUUUAUUGGUAAGAGAUUAGCCCGUAUUGUAUCAGUUAGUUGGUGGGGUAAUGGCUUACCAAGACUAUGACACAUAACUGGUUUGAGAGGAUGAUCAGUCACACUGGAACUGAGACACGGUCCAGACUCCUACGGGAGGCAGCAGUGGGGAAUAUUGCACAAUGGACGAAAGUCUGAUGCAGCAACGCCGCGUGGAGGAUGACACAUUUCGGUGCGUAAACUCCUUUUAUAUGAGAAGAUAAUGACGGUAUUAUAUGAAUAAGCACCGGCUAACUCCGUGCCAGCCGCCGCCGUAA
This 484-nucleotide ribosomal RNA is filed under the name uncultured bacterium. RNAcentral describes it as "partial 16S ribosomal RNA". It matches the Rfam family "Bacterial small subunit ribosomal RNA", at positions 29 to 523 of the family's 1533-position model. The record is from RNAcentral.